AUGAUCGAUGGAUAUUGCAAGAGUAAAAGAAUAGAUGAAGCCAUGAAUCUUCUCAAAGAAAUGUAUCUGAAAAAUUUGGUUCCCGAUAUUGCAACUUACACAAUACUUUUUGACGGGUUGUUCAAAUCUGAGAGAUUCUCCCUAUCAUUAGCAGAGGAAUUUGUUAUUGUAAUUUUUUCAGCUCUAGAUAAAUGUGUGAAGAAGGAAGCACAGGAGUUAGCAUCCUACUCAGGAGCUCUACAGACAUCAGUUAAUCAACACAUGACUUGGGAAAAGCAACAAUGGAAAUGA
Non-coding RNA from Vicia faba (fava bean), 291 nucleotides. The record is from the annotation of a GenBank genome assembly. Lineage: Eukaryota; Viridiplantae; Streptophyta; Magnoliopsida; Fabales; Fabaceae.